CUACGGGGGGCUGCAGUGGGGAAUAUUGCACAAUGGGGGAAACCCUGAUGCAGCCAUGCCGCGUGUGUGAAGAAGGCCUGCGGGUUGUAAAGCACUUUCAGUGGGGAGGAAAGCGAUAGCGUUAACAGCGCUAUCGAUUGACGUUAUCCGCAGAAGAAGCACCGGCUAACUCUGUGCCAGCAGCCGCGGUAAUACGGAGGGUGCAAGCGUUAAUCGGAAUUACUGGGCGUAAAGCGUAUGCAGGCGGUCUGUUAAGUCAGAUGUGAAAUCCCCGAGCUUAACUUGGGAACUGCAUUUGAAACUGGCAGGCUAGAGUCUCGUAGAGGGGGGUAGAAUUCCAGGUGUAGCGGUGAAAUGCGUAGAGAUCUGGAGGAAUACCGGUGGCUAAGGCGGCCCCCUGGACGAAAACUGACGCUCAGGUACGAAAGCGUGGGGAGCAAACAGGAUUAGAUACCCGUGUAGUC
Molecule: ribosomal RNA, 464 nt
Filed under: Sodalis endosymbiont of Rhizoecus sp. 1
Lineage: Bacteria; Pseudomonadati; Pseudomonadota; Gammaproteobacteria; Enterobacterales; Bruguierivoracaceae
Description: bacterial SSU rRNA
Rfam family: Bacterial small subunit ribosomal RNA
Source: RNAcentral